AGUGAACGCUGGCGGUAGGCCUAACACAUGCAAGUCGAACGGCAGCACAGUAAGAGCUUGCUCUUACGGGUGGCGAGUGGCGGACGGGUGCGGAAUACAUCGGAAUCUACUUUUUCGUGGGGGAUAACGUAGGGAAACUUACGCUAAUACCGCAUACGACCUACGGGUGAAAGCAGGGGAUCUUCGGACCUUGCGCGAUUGAAUGAGCCGAUGUCGGAUUAGCUAGUUGGCGGGGUAAAGGCCCACCAAGGCGACGAUCCGUAGCUGGUCUGAGAGGAUGAUCAGCCACACGGGAACUGAGACACGGUCCAGACUCUUACGGGAGGCAGCAGUGGGGAAUGUUGGACAAUGGGCGCAAGCCUGAUCCAGCCAUACCGCGUGGGUGAAGAAGGCCUUCGGGUUGUAAAGCCCUUUUGUUGGGAAAGAAAAGCAGCAGGUUAAUACCCCACUGUUCUGACGGUACCCAAAGAAUAAGCAACGGCUAACUUCGUG
This 492-nucleotide ribosomal RNA is filed under the name uncultured bacterium. RNAcentral describes it as "partial 16S ribosomal RNA". It matches the Rfam family "Bacterial small subunit ribosomal RNA", at positions 29 to 507 of the family's 1533-position model. The record is from RNAcentral.